Molecule: ribosomal RNA, 745 nt
Filed under: uncultured bacterium
Lineage: Bacteria
Description: bacterial SSU rRNA
Rfam family: Bacterial small subunit ribosomal RNA
Source: RNAcentral
UGCAGUCGAACGGCAGCACGGGAGCAAUCCUGGUGGCGAGUGGCGAACGGGUGAGUWWUAUAUCGGAACGUGCCCAGUCGUGGGGGAUAACGCAGCGAAAGCUGUGCUAAUACCGCAUACGAUCUAUGGAUGAAAGCGGGGGAUCGCAAGACCUCGCGCGAUUGGAGCGGCCGAUAUCAGAUUAGCUAGUUGGUGAGGUAAAGGCUCACCAAGGCGACGAUCUGUAGCUGGUCUGAGAGGACGACCAGCCACACUGGAACUGAGACACGGUCCAGACUCCUACGGGAGGCAGCAGUGGGGAAUUUUGGACAAUGGGCGCAAGCCUGAUCCAGCAAUGCCGCGUGCAGGAUGAAGGCCUUCGGGUUGUAAACUGCUUUUGUAUGGAACGAAACGGUCUGCCCUAAUACGGUGGGCUAAUGACGGUACCGUAAGAAUAAGCACCGGCUAACUACGUGCCAGCAGCCGCGGUAAUACGUAGGGUGCGAGCGUUAAUCGGAAUUACUGGGCGUAAAGCGUGCGCAGGCGGUUAUAUAAGACAGAUGUGAAAUCCCCGGGCUCAACCUGGGACCUGCAUUUGUGACUGUAUAGCUAGAGUACGGUAGAGGGGGAUGGAAUUCCGCGUGUAGCAGUGAAAUGCGUAGAUAUGCGGAGGAACACCGAUGGCGAAGGCAAUCCCCUGGACCCGUACUGACGCUCAUGCACGAAAGCGUGGGGAGCAAACAGGAUUAGAUACCCUGGUAGUCCA